UACGGGGGGUGCGAGCGUUGUCCGGAAUCACUGGGCGUAAAGGGCGCGUAGGUGGCGUGAUAAGGGUGUGGUGAAAGCCCGGGGCUCAACCCCGGGUCUGCCAUGCCGACUGUCAGGCUGGAGUACUGUAGGGGCAGGCGGAAUUCCGGGUGUAGCGGUGGAAUGCGUAGAGAUCCGGAGGAAGACCGGUGGCGAAGGCGGCCUGCUGGGCAGUUGCUGACGCUGAUGCGCGACAGCGUGGGGAGCAAACAGG
This 253-nucleotide ribosomal RNA is filed under the name uncultured bacterium. RNAcentral describes it as "partial 16S ribosomal RNA". It matches the Rfam family "Bacterial small subunit ribosomal RNA", at positions 524 to 776 of the family's 1533-position model. The record is from RNAcentral.